UACGAAGGGGGCUAGCGUUGUUCGGAUUUACUGGGCGUAAAGCGCACGUAGGCGGAUCGUUAAGUCGGGGGUGAAAUCCUGGAGCUCAACUCCAGAACUGCCUUCGAUACUGGCGAUCUUGAGUCCGGAAGAGGUGAGUGGAACUCCUAGUGUAGAGGUGGAAUUCGUAGAUAUUAGGAAGAACACCGGUGGCGAAGGCGGCGACCUGGUUCGAUACUGACACUGAGGUGCGAAAGCGUGGGGAGCAAACAGG
This 253-nucleotide ribosomal RNA is filed under the name uncultured bacterium. RNAcentral describes it as "partial 16S ribosomal RNA". It matches the Rfam family "Bacterial small subunit ribosomal RNA", at positions 524 to 776 of the family's 1533-position model. The record is from RNAcentral.